UCCCGGGUCGUCUAAUGGCAGGACAAAGAGUUUUGGUCUCUUGAAUGAGGGUUCGAUUCCUUCCCCGGGAGCCA
Molecule: transfer RNA, 74 nt
Filed under: Streptomyces collinus
Lineage: Bacteria; Bacillati; Actinomycetota; Actinomycetes; Kitasatosporales; Streptomycetaceae
Also listed under: 7 other names
Description: tRNA-Gln
Rfam family: tRNA
About the family: Transfer RNA (tRNA) molecules are approximately 80 nucleotides in length. Their secondary structure includes four short double-helical elements and three loops (D, anti-codon, and T loops). Further hydrogen bonds mediate the characteristic L-shaped molecular structure. tRNAs have two regions of fundamental functional importance: the anti-codon, which is responsible for specific mRNA codon recognition, and the 3' end, to which the tRNAs corresponding amino acid is attached (by aminoacyl-tRNA synthetases). tRNAs cope with the degeneracy of the genetic code in two manners: having more than one tRNA (with a specific anti-codon) for a particular amino acid; and 'wobble' base-pairing, i.e. permitting non-standard base-pairing at the 3rd anti-codon position.
Source: RNAcentral